This is a long non-coding RNA of Scleropages formosus (Asian bonytongue), 360 nucleotides long. Lineage: Eukaryota; Metazoa; Chordata; Actinopteri; Osteoglossiformes; Osteoglossidae. The record is from Ensembl.
CCUCGGCGAAGGCGUCCCAGGAGCCCGUCUCCAUUAGCAGAAUGUCAGGGUUUCGUUCGCUCGGCUGCGCGGAGCCGAUGGGUCCCGGGUUCGGCUGCCCGUCCGUCGAGACUCAUCCCCGCGGUCACGCUGUGUCCCUCGGCGCUCAAUGGGCCCAGACCCCUCCCCCCACAGCCCCGGACGUGGCGCUUGCCACCUGCCGACAGACACGGCAGCGAGGAACGGCGCAGCACUCCUCCCCCAACGGCCAGACGCCACAGUUCUCUGGAGCGCUGAGUCCCAGUGCUGUGCUGCUGGGUCACAGGUACGAAUUUCUCGGCAUCACAGUUUUUGCAUGCAGCUUUCUUAUGUGUUACUGAU